AUGACCAAAAUAAUGGAGGCUGUUGCAAUUACUCUCUAUUGUCUUCAAGAACUUGAUGCAGCAACAACCUCUGCUCCAAGAGCUCCAUCCACGGGGAUUACUCUGCCUUUGACAAUGUCAAUGAGCAGCCUUUGUCUGGGUGACACCACUGUGAGUUGUGCCUGGGCCACAGCCUUGGUGACUUCAGACAAAGCACCCCCAAACCUGCCUCAAGGGGUGUCUUCCCUGCUACACAAUCCUCAUGGGCCCUGGAGGGCUGCUUCCUGCUUAUUCAAUAUAAAGUUAUGAUGAGCUGCAGAUGCUGCAGUCACAGCUGCCAAUAGGUUACUUUGGAAUUCCCUUUGCAAUACCCACAGAAGCCCUUACCAGCCGAGAUGGGAAUCUAGCUAAUAAACCAAAUUCAGGUAAUGUCACAAAGUUUGAACAAGGAGACUCUGCAUCCCCUGCACCUCCAAAGACACCAAUCAGGCACAGCAGAGUCAAUCUCAGACCUACCACACGGCCCAGCAACUCUUUUUGAAUACUGCUCUGCCACUUGGCUAAACAACUAUACCAGCCUCCUCUACUACACGGGCAUGUCCAGUGCCUUCCAGUAUGGGACCACUAUGUUUGUCCCUCCGAUCUCAGCAAAGCAGCACGGUGUGAGCCUUAGUACUCCCCCGACCUUUUUUUUCAGCAGGCCAGUGGCUAUGAGCAGCAUACUUACAGCACAGGUUAUGGCGAUUUGACCCAGGGGAGAGCAGGAGAAUACACCAAAUGGCUAUGGUGGAUCAUUUCAGGCACCAAACAAGUGGCCUUGUUCUGGGCCUGGCAAUGGAGUAUCAGUAUCUUCAGGCACUGGCUUACCUAAUAUGAUUGGUUCUGUCUACAAGACACUGAUAUUUGACAAGCAGCGAUUUCAUGCAAGCAUUCCUCCAUCUUUCAACCUACCCUUUGACUUGGUCGCCACUGGGCCCCUCGCCCCUGGAGCGGCCCUUGGCUACACUUGCCUGGUUCCUGCACAUCAUGUGGGCCCACCAGCCACCCCACUCCCAGCUGCUGCACCACCGCCUGCCACAGGAUGCCCGAGCGGCUCUGGUCAGCGUAGCCAGCCCAACUAUGGCAACUCUCUUUACUGGACAAACUGGACCCUGAAAAGGAGAGGGUGGACUCUUGGGCAUGGUCUACAAUGGGCAGGAAAGAACACAUGGAACACAUUUUUGGGAGCCCUUGCUCUUCCUAGAAUUCUGAGACACAAUUCUUUGAGCCUCUGUGGGAAGCCCGACUCCCUGACCCACUGUUGUAUGUAA
Molecule: non-coding RNA, 1289 nt
Organism: Mus caroli (Ryukyu mouse)
Lineage: Eukaryota; Metazoa; Chordata; Mammalia; Rodentia; Muridae
Source: RefSeq, a predicted model, not a curated record